GGGGAUUUAGCUCAGUGGUUCAGCCGCCUGCCUCACAAGCAGAAGGUCCUGAGUUCGAUCCCCGGUAUCCUCC
Fukomys damarensis (Damara mole-rat) is the source of this 73-nucleotide non-coding RNA. The record is from Rfam. NCBI's taxonomy places the organism in Eukaryota, Metazoa, Chordata, Mammalia, Rodentia, Bathyergidae.